ACGCUCGACACCUACGGAGGCAGCAGUGGGGAAUAUUGGGCAAUGGGCGCAAGCCUGACCCAGCAACGCCGCGUGAAGGAAGAAGGCUUUCGGGUUGUAAACUUCUUUUCUCAGGGACGAAGGAAGUGACGGUACCUGAGGAACAAGCCACGGCUAACUACGUGCCUGCAGCCGCGGUAAUCUGAGCGGGCUGGCAAGGC
Molecule: ribosomal RNA, 200 nt
Filed under: uncultured bacterium
Lineage: Bacteria
Description: partial 16S ribosomal RNA
Rfam family: Bacterial small subunit ribosomal RNA
Source: RNAcentral